This 774-nucleotide ribosomal RNA is filed under the name Phanerochaete livescens. RNAcentral describes it as "partial large subunit ribosomal RNA". It matches the Rfam family "Eukaryotic large subunit ribosomal RNA", at positions 141 to 906 of the family's 3401-position model. Lineage: Eukaryota; Fungi; Basidiomycota; Agaricomycetes; Polyporales; Phanerochaetaceae. The record is from RNAcentral.
AGUUGUAAUCUGGAGAAGCGUCUUCCGCGCUGGACCGUGUACAAGUCUCCUGGAACGGAGCGUCAUAGAGGGUGAGAAUCCCGUCUUUGACACGGACUACCAGUGCUCUGUGAUGCGCUCUCAAAGAGUCGAGUUGUUUGGGAAUGCAGCUCAAAAUGGGUGGUAAACUCCAUCUAAAGCUAAAUAUUGGCGAGAGACCGAUAGCGAACAAGUACCGUGAGGGAAAGAUGAAAAGCACUUUGGAAAGAGAGUUAAACAGUACGUGAAAUUGCUGAAAGGGAAACGCUUGAAGUCAGUCGCGUUUGCUAGGACUCAGCCUUGCCUCGGCUUGGUGCAUUUCCUAGUAGACGGGCCAGCAUCACUUUUGACUGCGGGAGAAAGGUUGGAGGAAUGUGGCACCCUCGGGUGUGUUAUAGCCUCUAGCUGUAUGCCGUGGUUGGGAGUGAGGAACUCAGCACGCCGCAAGGCGGGGCUUCGGCCACCUUCGUGCUUAGGAUGCUGGCGUAAUGGCUUUAAACGACCCGUCUUGAAACACGGACCAAGGAGUCUAACAUGCCUGCGAGUGUUUGGGUGGAAAACCCGAGCGCGUAAUGAAAGUGAAAGUUGGGACCUCUGUCGUGGAGGGCACCGACGCCCGGACCAGACCUUCUGUGACGGAUCCGCGGUAGAGCAUGUAUGUUGGGACCCGAAAGAUGGUGAACUAUGCCUGAUAGGGUGAAGCCAGAGGAAACUCUGGUGGAGCUCGUAGCGAUUCUGACGUGCAAAUCGAUCGUC